This 463-nucleotide ribosomal RNA is filed under the name uncultured bacterium. Its description in RNAcentral is "partial 16S ribosomal RNA". It matches the Rfam family "Bacterial small subunit ribosomal RNA", at positions 28 to 507 of the family's 1533-position model. The record is from RNAcentral.
GAUGAACGCUGACAGAAUGCUUAACACAUGCAAGUCUUUGGCGAAGCUGUGCUUGCACCGCCUAGCCAAGGCGGACGGGUGAGUAACGCGUAAGGAACUUGCCCUGCAGUCAGGGAUAACAGACGGAAACGACUGAUAAGACCUGGUAAAGUCAGGCGGACUCAUGUCCAGCCUGAUGAAAAGAGAUGCUGCAGGAGAGCCUUGCGUCCUAUUAGCUUGUUGGUGGGGUAACGGCCCACCAAGGCGAUGAUAGGUAGCCGGCCUGAGAGGGUGGACGGCCACAAGGGGACUGAGAUACGGCCCUUACUCCUACGAGAGGCAGCAGUGGGGAAUAUUGGACAAUGGGGGCAACCCUGAUCCAGCAAUUCUGUGUGCACGAUGAAGGUUUUCGGAUUGUAAAGUGCUUUCAGCAGGGAAGAAAAAAAUGACGGUACCUGCAGAAGAAGCGACGGCUAAAUACGUG